RNAcentral lists this ribosomal RNA (354 nucleotides) under uncultured bacterium. RNAcentral's name for it is "partial 16S ribosomal RNA". It matches the Rfam family "Bacterial small subunit ribosomal RNA", at positions 338 to 708 of the family's 1533-position model. The record is from RNAcentral.
CCUACGGGUGACAGCAGUGGGGAAUAUUGCACAAUGGGGGAAACCCUGAUGCAGCGACGCCGCGUGAGUGAAGAAGUAUUUCGGUAUGUAAAGCUCUAUCAGCAGGGAAGAAAAAAGACGGUACCUGACUAAGAAGCCCCGGCUAACUACGUGCCAGCAGCCGCGGUAAUACGUAGGGGGCAAGCGUUAUCCGGAUUUACUGGGUGUAAAGGGAGCGUAGACGGCGCGGCAAGUCUGAAGUGAAAGGGAGGGGCUUAACCCCUGAACUGCUUUGGAAACUGCCCUGCUAGAGUGCUGGAGGGGUAAGUGGAAUGCGGAGUGGAGCGGGGAAAUGCGUAGAUAGUAGGAGGAAAA